This 370-nucleotide ribosomal RNA is filed under the name Micarea aff. nowakii. Its description in RNAcentral is "SSU rRNA". It matches the Rfam family "Bacterial small subunit ribosomal RNA", at positions 409 to 759 of the family's 1533-position model. The record is from RNAcentral. Lineage: Eukaryota; Fungi; Ascomycota; Lecanoromycetes; Lecanorales; Micareaceae.
UGUAUAGCGAUUGCUAAUUGUUUCAUUCCAGAAAGAUAAAUGAAGCAAUCUCGAUUUGAUCGAAUAAAAUUCUGGGUAAAAUUAUGAUAAUGACAUUAUUUACUUAUGAGUCUUGACCAAAUUACGUGCCAGCAGUCGCGGUAAUACGUAGAAGACUAGUGUUAUUCAUCUUUAAUAGGUUUAAAGGGUACCUAGACGGCAGAUUAAGCCUUAGUUGGGACUGGUUUGCUAGAGUUACUUAUGAGGAAGUUUUAAUGUACUAGAGGUGAAGAGAUAAAAUUCUGUUAUACUUUUUUUCUAACGAAAAAUUUCGGCACAGGUAUAGGUGAAAACAUCUUCUUAUGGGAUAACUGACGUUGAAGGACGAAGG